UGUGUAUUUAGCAGUCUGUGUGUGUGUAUUUAGCAGACUGUGUAUUCAGCAGUCUGCUAAAUACACAUACAGACAGACUGCCGAGCAC
This is a non-coding RNA of Pelobates cultripes (western spadefoot toad), 88 nucleotides long. The record is from the annotation of a GenBank genome assembly. Lineage: Eukaryota; Metazoa; Chordata; Amphibia; Anura; Pelobatidae.